GCCUGGCUGGCUCAGUUGGUUGGGCGUCUGACUUCGGCCCAGGUCAUGAUCUCACAGUUCGUGGGUUUGAGCCCUGCGUCGGGCU
This 85-nucleotide transfer RNA is filed under the name Felis catus (domestic cat). It matches the Rfam family "tRNA". From Rfam's summary of the family: Transfer RNA (tRNA) molecules are approximately 80 nucleotides in length. Their secondary structure includes four short double-helical elements and three loops (D, anti-codon, and T loops). The record is from Rfam by way of RNAcentral. Lineage: Eukaryota; Metazoa; Chordata; Mammalia; Carnivora; Felidae.